AAUCAACGCUGGCGGCGUGCCUCAGACAUGCAAGUCGAACGAUUAAAGCUCUCUUCGGAGAGUGUAUAGAGUGGCGCACGGGUGAGUAACACGUAAGUAAUCUACCCUCGAGUGGGGAAUAACGUCCGGAAACGGACGCUAAUACCGCAUAAUGCAGCGGCACCGCAAGGUGACAGUUGUUAAAGGAGAAAUUCGCUUGAGGAGGAGCUUGCGGCAGAUUAGCUUGUUGGUAAGGUAACGGCUUACCAAGGCUACGAUCUGUAACCGGUCUUAGAGGACGGUCGGUCACACUGACACUGAAUAACGGGUCAGACUCCUACGGGAGGCAGCAGUCGGAAUUUUGGGCAAUGGGCGAAAGCCUGACCCAGCAACGCCGCGUGAAGGAUGAAGUAUUUCGGUAUGUAAACUUCGAAAGAAUAGGAAGAAUAAAUGACGGUACUAUUU
RNAcentral lists this ribosomal RNA (444 nucleotides) under uncultured bacterium. RNAcentral describes it as "bacterial SSU rRNA". It matches the Rfam family "Bacterial small subunit ribosomal RNA", at positions 32 to 483 of the family's 1533-position model. The record is from RNAcentral.